This 827-nucleotide ribosomal RNA is filed under the name uncultured Bacteroides sp. RNAcentral describes it as "bacterial SSU rRNA". It matches the Rfam family "Bacterial small subunit ribosomal RNA", at positions 346 to 1176 of the family's 1533-position model. The record is from RNAcentral. Lineage: Bacteria; Pseudomonadati; Bacteroidota; Bacteroidia; Bacteroidales; Bacteroidaceae.
AGGCAGCAGUGAGGAAUAUUGGUCAAUGGACGAGAGUCUGAACCAGCCAAGUAGCGUGAAGGAUGACUGCCCUAUGGGUUGUAAACUUCUUUUAUAAGGGAAUAAAGUGAGGGACGUGUCCCUUUUUGUAUGUACCUUAUGAAUAAGGAUCGGCUAACUCCGUGCCAGCAGCCGCGGUAAUACGGAGGAUCCAAGCGUUAUCCGGAUUUAUUGGGUUUAAAGGGAGCGUAGGUUGACAUAUAAGUCAGCUGUGAAAGUUUACGGCUCAACCGUGAAAUUGCAGUUGAUACUGUAUGUCUUGAGUGUACAAGAGGUGGGCGGAAUUCGUGGUGUAGCGGUGAAAUGCUUAGAUAUCACGAAGAACUCCAAUUGCGAAGGCAGCUCACUGGGGUACAACUGACACUGAGGCUCGAAAGUGUGGGUAUCAAACAGGAUUAGAUACCCUGGUAGUCCACACAGUAAACGAUGAAUACUCGCUGUUUGCGAUAUACAGUAAGCGGCCAAGCGAAAGCAUUAAGUAUUCCACCUGGGGAGUACGCCGGCAACGGUGAAACUCAAAGGAAUUGACGGGGGCCCGCACAAGCGGAGGAACAUGUGGUUUAAUUCGAUGAUACGCGAGGAACCUUACCCGGGCUUGAAUUGCAGAGGAAUAUAGUUGAAAGAUUAUAGCCGCAAGGUCUCUGUGAAGGUGCUGCAUGGUUGUCGUCAGCUCGUGCCGUGAGGUGUCGGCUUAAGUGCCAUAACGAGCGCAACCCUUAUCAUUAGUUACUAACAGGUCAUGCUGAGGACUCUAGUGAGACUGCCGUCGUAAGAUGUGAGGAAGGUGG